GGCGAACCGUGCGAACGUUGUUCGGAAUCACUGGGCUUAAAGGGCGCGUAGGCGGGCUGUCAAGUCUGGGGUGAAAUGCUGCGGCUCAACCGUAGAACUGCCUUAGAUACUGACGGCCUCGAGGAAGGUAGGGGCAUGCGGAACUGUAGGUGGAGCGGUGAAAUGCGUUGAUAUCUACAGGAACUCCGGUGGCGAAAGCGGCGUGCUGGACCUUUUCUGACGCUGAGGCGCGAAAGCUAGGGGAGCAAACGGG
This 253-nucleotide ribosomal RNA is filed under the name uncultured bacterium. RNAcentral's name for it is "partial 16S ribosomal RNA". It matches the Rfam family "Bacterial small subunit ribosomal RNA", at positions 524 to 776 of the family's 1533-position model. The record is from RNAcentral.